Molecule: ribosomal RNA, 435 nt
Filed under: uncultured bacterium
Lineage: Bacteria
Description: partial 16S ribosomal RNA
Rfam family: Bacterial small subunit ribosomal RNA
Source: RNAcentral
GAUGAACGCUGGCGGUAUGCUUAACACAUGCAAGUCGAACGGACUCUUCGGAGUUAGUGGCGGACGGGUGAGUAACGCGUGAGAAUCUGGCUUUGGGUUCGGGACAACCACUGGAAACGGUGGCUAAUACCGGAUGUGCCGAGAGGUAAAAGAGAAAUUGACUGAAGAUGAGCUCGCGUCUGAUUAGCUAGUUGGUGAGGUAAAGGCUCACCAAGGCAGCGAUCAGUAGCUGGUCUGAGAGGAUGACCAGCCACACUGGGACUGAGACACGGCCCAGACUCCUACGGGAGGCAGCAGUGGGGAAUUUUCCGCAAUGGGCGCAAGCCUGACGGAGCAAUACCGCGUGAGGGAAGAAGGCUCUUGGGUUGUAAACCUCUUUUCUUAGGGAAGAACAAAAUGACGGUACCUAAGGAAUCAGCAUCGGCUAACUCCGUG